GACGAACGCUGGCGGCGUGCUUAACACAUGCAAGUCGAACGGAAAGGCCCUGCUUGCAGGGUGCUCGAGUGGCGAACGGGUGAGUAACACGUGGGUGAUCUGCCCCUUACUUUGGGAUAAGCCUGGGAAACUGGGUCUAAUACUGGAUAGGACCAUGCUGUAGGUGGUGUGGUGGAAAGAUUAGUUUCGGUAAGGGAUGAGCUCGCGGCCUAUCCGCGUGUUGGUGGGGUAAUGGCCUACCAAGGCGUCGACGGGUAGCCGGCCUGAGAGGGUGGACGGCGACAUUGGGACUGUGAUACGGGCCAGACUCCUACGCGGGGCAGAAGUGGGGAAUAUUGCGCAAUGGGCGCACGCGUGAUGCGGAGACGCCGCGUGGGGGAUGACGGCCUUCGGGUUGUAAACUCCUUUCAGCCAUGACGAAGCCCUUGUGGUGACGGUAGUGGUAGAAGAAGCACCGGCUAACUACGUG
This 469-nucleotide ribosomal RNA is filed under the name uncultured bacterium. RNAcentral describes it as "partial 16S ribosomal RNA". It matches the Rfam family "Bacterial small subunit ribosomal RNA", at positions 28 to 507 of the family's 1533-position model. The record is from RNAcentral.